UCUCUGUUCUUUGACCACUUUAUCUGCCUUUUCAAAAGCGCUUUCUUUCUCUAUUCUCCGCAUCCAUCCAUUUCAACCCAAUCCAUACUUCUCACUCCUAACACGCACUUUUAGGCCAAUCCCCUUCGCCUCUUCUCUCGCCCUCUGGACUUCUUCUAUCUUCCAUGGAGUCCUCUGUAACCAUCUCCGUGAGAGCCUCUUCCUACUAUUCUUCUCAUUUCUCUGUCUCCCCAAGCACUACGCCUAAGCGCAGGCUCUAUUCUCACAAAACCCAUUAUUCUUCAUUUUCCUUUAGGUCCCUUAAUUCCAUGCACUCUGAUUCCAAAUCUAUUUCUUCUAUUAACCCUAAAUAUUCUCGCUUUUCCUGCUCUGCUGUUGCUUUCUCUCCGUCACCCACCACUGAGCUCGUGGGUGGUAAGCUGCAGCACCUGAUAAACGAAUUCCAAUCCCUGCCGGGAUCAAUCGACCGCGUGAAACGGGUCCUUCAUUAUGCCUCUAUUCUCCCCCCUUUUCCAGACUCCUCCCGGAUAGACUCCAACAGGGUCAUGGGCUGUACGGCCCAAGUCUGGCUCGAUGCCCAGUUAGAUCACUAUGGAAAGAUGAGAUUUUUAACCGACAGCGAUUCGGAGAUUACGCGAGGGUUCUGUGCUUGUUUGUUAUCUGUACUGGAAGGGGCGGCACCUGAAGAGGUGUUGAGCGUGAAGACAGAGGAUUUGGCGGCGCUGAAAGUGGGGUUGCCUGGCGGCGAGAGGUCGAGAGUAAAUACUUGGCAUAAUGUGCUGGUGAGUAUGCAGAAGAGGACGAAGAAAUUGGUAGCGGAAAGGGAAGGGAAGAAGCCUUUCGAUCCAUUUCCUUCAUUGGUUAUCACUUCAGAAGGAAUUCAGGCCAAGGGAAGCUACGCUGAAGCACAGGCAAGAUAUUUACUACCGGACGAGUCCAAGGUUCAAGAACUUGUCAACUUGCUAAAGGAGAAGAAAAUUGGUGUUGUUGCUCAUUUUUACAUGGACCCUGAAGUUCAAGGCGUCUUAACUGCUGCACAGAAGCACUGGCCUCACAUCCAUAUAUCUGAUUCAUUAGUCAUGGCAGAUAGUGCUGUAAAGAUGGCAAAAGAUGGAUGCAAAUUCAUAACGGUCUUGGGUGUAGAUUUUAUGUCAGAAAAUGUACGGGCAAUCCUUGAUCAAGCUGGCUUUGAAGAGGUUGGUGUUUAUAGGAUGUCAAAAGAGCGCAUUGGUUGUUCUUUGGCAGAUGCCGCAUCUAGCCCUGCUUACAUGAAUUAUCUUGAAGCAGCUUCUGGGUCUCCACAUUCUUUGCAUGUUGUCUACAUAAAUACUUCACUUGAGACAAAAGCUUAUGCUCAUGAGCUUGUGCCUACAAUCACAUGUACUUCUUCUAACGUUGUGCAGACUAUCCUGCAGGCUUUUGCUCAAAUUCCAGAUUUAAACGUAUGGUAUGGGCCUGAUUCAUACAUGGGUGACAAUCUUGCAAAAUUGAUUCAACAAAUGACAUUGAUGACAGAUGAUGAAAUUGCUGAAGUACAUCCAGCACAUAAUAGAGACACCAUAAGAGCAUUGUUAUCUCGCUUGCAUUAUUAUCAGGUGAUCUCUCUUUUCAGUUUCAGCUGAGCUAGGAUGGAAUUAAAUGCACUGUGCAUGGUUCAUACAAUAAAUGGUGUGUAAUGUGAAUAUUAUUGGGAAGGAAGGUAUUUUGUUCAAUGCCCCACUGAAGCCUGGUUUGGGUGUUGAUUUGGUUAUUGAUUAUAGUACUUGCUUUUGUUCAUGUAGCUGUUACAAAAUAUAGGAGAAGAUGCAGCAACACAAAUAUAAAAUUUUUCAAGACAUCGAAUGGAGAAGUUGGAUUAUAUUUGUUACUACAUAGCGGCACUGCUGCUGAAAAGCAGCUUUUUGUGAGUGAAAUAUGCAAGAAUAUAUGUCUGGCAGUGAGAAUUUGGAAAAGACGUUAAGUCUUGUGCAUUUAUUUUGGUAGCUUACAUGUGGUUUACUUCAGAAGUUCCUGUCCUUAAAACAUUGUCACUUCAAUCUUACUGUUUUGAGGUCCAGCAUUUUUUAAAUCUUAUUUGUCUGUGCUCUAUUAUCAAUCUGUGAGUGCCUAAGGAUUGGUUUUUUCCCUUUAUUUUCUCUAGGUAAAUGCCCUGCUGCUGUCUUGUUUUCUAAAUUUAUUUAUGAGGUGGCUUUUUUGUGUCAGGAUGGAACAUGUAUUGUUCAUCAUCUUUUUGGAUAUGAAGUUGUGGAUAGGAUAAAUGAGAUAUAUUGUGAUGCUUUCCUAACUGCUCACCUGGAGGUCCCUGGAGAAAUGUUUUCUUUGGCAAUGGAAGCAAAGAGGAGAGGAAUGGGGGUAGUAGGUUCCACCCAAAACAUAUUAGAUUUUAUAAAGCUGAGAGUUCAAGAGGCACUAGAUAGAAAUGUCAACGAUCAACUCCAAUUUGUGUUAGGAACAGAAUCAGGAAUGAUCACUUCAAUUGUUGCAGCAGUUCAGCAUUUGCUAGGUUCUGCAAAGUCUUGUGGGGGAGCCAAAAUUAAUGUUGAAAUUGUCUUUCCAGUCUCAUCAGACUCGAUAACAAGAACAUCACCAAAUUCAUCUACUGGUCUAAAAUCUGUAAAUGCAGGGGACUUUGUGUUACCUGUUGUACCCGGAGUUGCUAGUGGGGAGGGAUGUUCUAUUCAUGGUGGCUGUGCUUCCUGUCCCUACAUGAAGAUGAACUCUCUUAAUUCCCUUAUAAAAGUUUGCCAGCACCUGCCAGAUGAGAAAAAUGCCAUUGUAGCAUACAAGGCUGAGCGAUUUAAACUGCAAACUCCCAGCGGAAAAUCAGUUGCCGAUGUUGGAUGUCAACCAAUACUGCACAUGAGACACUUCCAGACUACAAAAGAAUUACCGGAGAAACUUGUUAAUGAGGUUCUUCACCUCAGCAGCAACGGGAGGCCAAUAUUAUAAGGCUGAAAAGGUCUGCCUCCUCCCAGAAGUUGAUGAGAUACUAAUUUAUAGAGAAGCCAGACAUGAAAGGGGUUCUAAAUGUGAGAGAUUUCCCCUAUAAUAGAAGAUUUUUCACGUCAGCAUGUAUUUGAAGAUUUAGUUUUAGACACUAUGUUUUCUCCUUGUCAACAGUGUGGUUUAGAUUUUAUUUUCUCUUUGUUUUUAAGAGUGGUGUUAGAUUUACAGGAAACGAAGCGAUUCAUGAUAUGAUAUUAACCACUUUAUAGUAAGAUUAUCAUGGUAACAGCAUAUGUUACUUGUUGGCUAAGCUAAGUGAACUCCUACAUUGCUCAUCUUAACAAAACUUUGAUUGGUUGCUAAGACUGAAGCUAAUGAGAUCAUCAUUUUUCGUUUUUUAGAUGUGGAAAAC
This 3358-nucleotide unclassified non-coding RNA is filed under the name Hevea brasiliensis (rubber tree). Lineage: Eukaryota; Viridiplantae; Streptophyta; Magnoliopsida; Malpighiales; Euphorbiaceae. The record is from RNAcentral.